Molecule: ribosomal RNA, 253 nt
Filed under: uncultured bacterium
Lineage: Bacteria
Description: partial 16S ribosomal RNA
Rfam family: Bacterial small subunit ribosomal RNA
Source: RNAcentral
UACGGGGGGGGCAAGCGUUGUUCGGAAUUACUGGGCGUAAAGGGCUCGUAGGUGGCCAACUAAGUCAGACGUGAAAUCCCUCGGCUUAACCGGGGAACUGCGUCUGAUACUGGAUGGCUUGAGUUUGGGAGAGGGACGCGGAAUUCCAGGUGUAGCGGUGAAAUGCGUAGAUAUCUGGAGGAACACCGGUGGCGAAGGCGGCGUCCUGGACCAACACUGACACUGAGGAGCGAAAGCCAGGGGAGCAAACAGG